GAUGAACGCUAGCGGCAGGCCUAACACAUGCAAGUCGAGGGGCAGCAUAGAAGUAGUUUACUACUUUUGAUGGCGACCGGCGCACGGGUGCGUAACGCGUAUAUAACCUGCCUCGAACAAGGGGAUAAUUCGGAGAAAUCUGGUCUAAUACCCUAUAACAUCCGGGAGGGCAUCCUUCUGGGUUAAAAGCUCCGGCGGUUCGAGAUGGAUAUGCGUGACAUUAGCUAGUUGGUACGGUAACGGCGUACCAAGGCUACGAUGUCUAGGGGGACUGAGAGGUUAACCCCCCACACUGGUACUGAGACACGGACCAGACUCCUACGGGAGGCAGCAGUGAGGAAUAUUGGUCAAUGGGCGCAAGCCUGAACCAGCCAUGCCGCGUGCAGGAAGACGGCUCUAUGAGUUGUAAACUGCUUUUAUACAGGAAUAAAUGCACUUACGUGUAAGUGUUUGAAUGUACUGUAAGAAUAAGGACCGGCUAACUCCGUGCCAGCAGCCGCAGUA
RNAcentral lists this ribosomal RNA (504 nucleotides) under uncultured bacterium. RNAcentral's name for it is "bacterial SSU rRNA". It matches the Rfam family "Bacterial small subunit ribosomal RNA", at positions 28 to 522 of the family's 1533-position model. The record is from RNAcentral.